GAUGAACGCUGGCGGCGUGCCUAAUACAUGCAAGUCGAGCGAACAGACGAGGAGCUUGCUCCUCUGACGUUAGCGGCGGACGGGUGAGUAACACGUGGAUAACCUACCUAUAAGACUGGGAUAACUUCGGGAAACCGGAGCUAAUACCGGAUAAUAUAUUGAACCGCAUGGUUCAAUAGUGAAAGACGGUUUUGCUGUCACUUAUAGAUGGAUCCGCGCCGCAUUAGCUAGUUGGUAAGGUAACGACUUACCAAGGCAACGAUGCGUAGCCGACCUGAGAGGGUGAUCGGCCACACUGGAACUGAGACACGGUCCAGACUCCUACGGGAGGCAGCAGUAGGGAAUCUUCCGCAAUGGGCGAAAGCUUGACGGAGCAACGCCGCGUGAGUGAUGAAGGUCUUCGGAUCGUAAAACUCUGUUAUUAGGGAAGAACAAAUGUGUAAGUAACUAUGCACGUCUUGACGGUACCUAAUCAGAAAGCCACGGCUAACUACG
RNAcentral lists this ribosomal RNA (495 nucleotides) under uncultured bacterium. RNAcentral describes it as "partial 16S ribosomal RNA". It matches the Rfam family "Bacterial small subunit ribosomal RNA", at positions 28 to 505 of the family's 1533-position model. The record is from RNAcentral.